AAUUCUGAAAUCAGAACGUUGGUCUUGCAGAAUUAGCCGUUUGGCAUUUUUAAAAUUUAGCCAUUUGACCCCUCAAAUUUAAUUUAACACCAAACUUUAUAUAAUUACACAAUUUCCCAUUUCUCAACUAUAAAUACCCGCUCAUUCUUUCAUUUUAAUUCACCAAUUCAUCAAUCUUACUCAAUCUCUCUCAAUCUCUCUCAAGCUCUCUUUCAAUCUUUCUGUGCAAGUGCN
This 234-nucleotide long non-coding RNA is filed under the name Nicotiana benthamiana. RNAcentral's name for it is "long non-coding RNA (NBEN_LNC039728)". The record is from RNAcentral. Lineage: Eukaryota; Viridiplantae; Streptophyta; Magnoliopsida; Solanales; Solanaceae.